CGGCGGACGGGUGAGUAACACGUGGGUAACCUACCUAUAAGACUGGGACAACUUCGGGAAACCGGAGCUAAUACCGGAUAAGAUAUCGAACCGCAUGGUUCGNAUAGUGAAAGAUGGUUUUGCUAUCACUUAUAGAUGGACCCGCGCCGUAUUAGCUAGUUGGUGAGGUAACGGCUCACCAAGGCAACGAUACGUAGCCGACCUGAGAGGGUGAUCGGCCACACUGGAACUGAGACACGGUCCAGACUCCUACGGGAGGCAGCAGGA
This 267-nucleotide ribosomal RNA is filed under the name uncultured Staphylococcus sp. RNAcentral describes it as "partial 16S ribosomal RNA". It matches the Rfam family "Bacterial small subunit ribosomal RNA", at positions 96 to 354 of the family's 1533-position model. Lineage: Bacteria; Bacillati; Bacillota; Bacilli; Caryophanales; Staphylococcaceae. The record is from RNAcentral.